UGGCUCAGAUUGAACGCUGGCGGCAGGCCUAACACAUGCAAGUCGAGCGGAUGAGUGGAGCUUGCUCCAUGAUUCAGCGGCGGACGGGUGAGUAAUGCCUAGGAAUCUGCCUGGUAGUGGGGGACAACGUUUCGAAAGGAACGCUAAUACCGCAUACGUCCUACGGGAGAAAGUGGGGGAUCUUCGGACCUCACGCUAUCAGAUGAGCCUAGGUCGGAUUAGCUAGUUGGCGAGGUAAAGGCUCACCAAGGCGACGAUGAUUAGGGGUCCUGAGAGGGAGAUCCCCCACACUGGUACUGAGACACGGACCAGACUCCUACGGGAGGCAGCAGUGAGGAAUAUUGGGCAAUGGAGGCAACUCUGACCCAGCCAUGCCGCGUGCAGGAAGAAGGCCCUAGGGUUGUAAAGCACUUUCAAUUGGGAAGAAAAGCUGUUGCUUAAUACGUAACGGCCCUGACAUUACCUUUAGAAGAAGCACCGGCUAACUCCGUG
Molecule: ribosomal RNA, 492 nt
Filed under: uncultured bacterium
Lineage: Bacteria
Description: bacterial SSU rRNA
Rfam family: Bacterial small subunit ribosomal RNA
Source: RNAcentral